GUAGGUGAACCUGCGGAAGGAUCAUUAACGAGUUUGAAGUGGGUUUGAUGCUGGCCUGCGUAACACCAGGCAUGUGCUCGCCCCGCUCAUCCACUCAACACCUGUGCACCUUUGAGGCAAUUUGCCCUCCGUUAACUUGGAGCCGUUCCCUUGCUUUCACGAGCUGAGGUUGAGCCGGGGCGAAUUGUUUCACUUUACAAACAUACACCACAAAGUUUAGUAGAAUGUAACCGCCGUUAAGGCAAAAACU
This 250-nucleotide unclassified non-coding RNA is filed under the name plant metagenome. Its description in RNAcentral is "partial contains small subunit ribosomal RNA, internal transcribed spacer 1, and 5.8S ribosomal RNA". The record is from RNAcentral.